GCGCUCACUUUGACAGCACAUAGGCUAAAAUUGGAACGAUACAGAGAAGAUUAGCAUGGUCCCUGGGCAAGAAUGACGGGCAAGUUCGUGCAGCGCUCCAUACGGUA
Mesoplodon densirostris (Blainville's beaked whale) is the source of this 107-nucleotide small nuclear RNA. The record is from RefSeq and is a predicted model, not a curated record. NCBI's taxonomy places the organism in Eukaryota, Metazoa, Chordata, Mammalia, Artiodactyla, Ziphiidae.